RNAcentral lists this transfer RNA (66 nucleotides) under Sphaerodactylus townsendi. Its description in RNAcentral is "tRNA-Ala". Lineage: Eukaryota; Metazoa; Chordata; Lepidosauria; Squamata; Sphaerodactylidae. The record is from RNAcentral.
GAAGCUCAGUGGAAAAACCUCUGCUUUGCAUGCAAAAGACCCCAGAUUCAAUUCCUGGCAUCUCCA